AAUCAACGCUGGCGGCGUGCCUAACACAUGCAAGUCGAACGAGAAAGGGGAGCAAUCCCUGAGUACAGUGGCGACCGGGUGAGUAACACGUGACUACCUACCCUUGAGUGGGGGAUAACCUCGGGAAACCGAGGCUAACACCGCAUAAUAUCGCAAGAUCAAAGGAGCAAUCCGCUCUUGGAGGGGGUCGCGGCUGAUUAGCUAGUUGGUAGGGUAAUGGCCUACCAAGGCGAAGANCGGUAUCCGGCCUGAGAGGGCGCACGGACACACUGGAACUGAAACACGGUCCAGACUCCUACGGGAGGCAGCAGUGGGGAAUUUUGCGCAAGUGGGGGAAACCCUGACGCAGCAACGCCGCGUGGAGGAUGAAGCUCCUUGGAGU
RNAcentral lists this ribosomal RNA (382 nucleotides) under uncultured bacterium. RNAcentral's name for it is "bacterial SSU rRNA". It matches the Rfam family "Bacterial small subunit ribosomal RNA", at positions 32 to 424 of the family's 1533-position model. The record is from RNAcentral.